Molecule: long non-coding RNA, 375 nt
Filed under: Physcomitrium patens
Lineage: Eukaryota; Viridiplantae; Streptophyta; Bryopsida; Funariales; Funariaceae
Description: long non-coding RNA (PPAT_LNC003667)
Source: RNAcentral
AUCUGAGACUCAUGUCGGAUAAUUUGGUUGUCAUGCUCCUCCAACAUCUUCUGCCAUUCUUCUAUUGAUUUCAAAGGUAUCUUCGAAGGUGUUGUUGCUAAAACUGGCAUAUUGGUCUACACUAAAUUAUUGGCUUCCUUUGCUAAUGUUGCUAGUUUAGUCUGCAACAUCGCAAUCUCUAUCCAUAGACGUUCUUGCCAUUCUUUUCAAUUGAUUUCCAACCUUGCUUUCUCAGACAUCAUAUUUGCCAUCUUCUCCUUAACCACAAAAGAAAACACGAUGCUUGUCAAGAGUCUCCCUCCUACUUCUUACUGUGGUCCAAUCAAUUGGGUCGACUCUCCCUUGAGUAAUAGAAAAUCCAUCUUGGGUUUAAGU